AAGUCGUAACAAGGUCUCCGUAGGUGAACCUGCGGAGGGAUCAUUAACAAAUCAAACACACACCCUGUGUAAGCGUCUGUUCCUGGCUGGGUCAAGUGGGGAGUGCGCACAAAAGUUGGGGUCAUGGGGGGAAGCGGGCAACCGCCGAUACUCCGCCCGCCGAGUCGCGCCCACCAGGAUCAACAACCAAACCAUAUCAUGAUUGUCAGCUGUAUUACAAAGUGUAAUUACAAACAACUUUUAACAAUGGAUCUCUUGGCUCUU
Molecule: unclassified non-coding RNA, 264 nt
Filed under: fungal sp.
Lineage: Eukaryota; Fungi
Description: partial internal transcribed spacer region
Rfam family: Eukaryotic small subunit ribosomal RNA (bases 1-46)
Source: RNAcentral